GAAAUCUGGCCGUCAGGCCCGAGUUGUAAUUUGCAGAGGAUGUCUCGGGCGCGACUCCGGUCUAAGUUCUUUGGAACAGGACGUCAUAGAGGGUGAGAAUCCCGUACGCGACCGGCCGUUAACCCCGUGUGAGGCUCCUUCGACGAGUCGAGUUGUUUGGGAAUGCAGCUCUAAAUGGGUGGUAAAUUUCAUCUAAAGCUAAAUACCGGCCAGAGACCGAUAGCGCACAAGUAGAGUGAUCGAAAGAUGAAAAGCACUUUGGAAAGAGAGUUAAAAAGCACGUGAAAUUGUUGAAAGGGAAGCGCUUGCAACCAGACUUGCCCGCGGGUGAUCAGCCGUCCUUCGGGGCGGUGCACUCGCCCGCGAACAGGCCAGUAUCGGUUUCGGUGGUCGGAUAAAGGCAACGGGAACGUAGCUCCCCCCGGGGAGUCUUACAGCCCGUCGCGCAAUGCGAUCAGCCGGGACCGAGGACCGCGCUUCGGCUAGGAUACUGGCGUAAUGGUCGUAAGCGACCCGUCUUGAAACACGGACCAAGGAGUCUAACAUCUAUGCGAGUGUUUGGGUGUCAAACCCAUGCGCGCAAUGAAAGUGAACGGAGGUGGGAACCUUUCGGGGGGCACCAUCGACCGAUCCUGAUGUCUUCGGAUGGAUUUGAGUACGAGCAUAGCUGUUGGGACCCGAAAGAUGGUGAACUAUGCGUGAAUAGGGUGAAGCCAGAGGAAACUCUGGUGGAGGCUCGCAGCGGUUCUGACGUGCAAAUCGAUCGUCAAAUUUGCGUAUAGGGGCGAAAGACUAAUCGAACCAUCUAGUAGUGACCGGCCAGUUACUAGAGAUACAUCAAGGGACACGGUCCCUGUAGUCCGUUAUUCCAAUAGCGAGGCGACAUCGUCGGUCUUCGGGGAUCCCCUCCCAGGGCGAUCCGAAAUGGGCAUCCGCCCAUUCACAGGCUAAGUGACGGUGGCCGUGUCCCCAUGGGGCUCGCGGUUAGGAGAUAGUCGCCGGCCCCCUUCAAGGGAGGUCCGCGUGGGAGCUGGUUCCUGCCGAAGUUUCCCUCAGGAUAGCAGUAACGUUUUCAGUUUUAUGAGGUAAAGCGAAUGAUUAGAGGCCUUGGGGCAGAAACUGCCUUAACCUAUUCUCAAACUUUAAAUAUGUAAGAAGUCCUCGUUACUUAGUUGAACGCGGACAUUUGAAUGCACCGUUACUAGUGGGCCAUUUUUGGUAAGCAGAACUGGCGAUGCGGGAUGAACCGAACGCGAGGUUAAGGUGCCGGAAUAUACGCUCAUCAGACACCACAAAAGGUGUUAAUUCAUCUAGACAGCCGGACGGUGGCCAUGGAAGUCGGAAUCCGCUAAGGAGUGGUGGUGGUGGAAGUUGAAUUUCCACGCCCAAUAUUGUGCGUCAUAUUGUUGCGCGCUCCUAAUUAGCUACAUCGUCAGGAAACGAUGGACCUAGAGUGGUGGCAGAACGAAUUGGUAAGGACUGAACCACGCGGUGUUUCUAGCCGUUAUUUUAAAAGGGGCCACAGUUCAAUCGAUGAUUUUUCCCCACUCAAUCGUCCUAAAAUCGCGAAAACGUUUUACUUCUUACUAGUGUAGCAAUAGGGGGUACGAUCUUAUCGCGAGCCUUUGUUCACAAGGUUUACAGACUAAACAGGAUGGGUCUUUAGGGACUCUGAUAUAGUCGAGCCCGUGUCUGUAAGGACAUGGCGUGAGAUAGGGGGCUGCCGAACAGCGGCAUACGCCCCUGCGCGUUUCCAAGUGCAAAUCGAGGUUUGCUGCACGACUUGGAGACGGCGAUCUCGCACUCGCGGUGUAACAACUCACCGGCCGAAUGAAUUAGCCCUGAAAAUGGAUGGCGCUCAAGCGUGUUACCUAUACCUCGCCGCCAGGGUAGAUACGAUGCCCUGGCGAGUAGGCAGGCGUGGGGGUCCGUGACGAAGCCUGGGGG
Molecule: ribosomal RNA, 1947 nt
Filed under: Lambiella globulosa
Lineage: Eukaryota; Fungi; Ascomycota; Lecanoromycetes; Baeomycetales; Xylographaceae
Description: eukaryotic LSU rRNA
Rfam family: Eukaryotic large subunit ribosomal RNA
Source: RNAcentral